RNAcentral lists this ribosomal RNA (847 nucleotides) under uncultured bacterium. RNAcentral describes it as "bacterial SSU rRNA". It matches the Rfam family "Bacterial small subunit ribosomal RNA", at positions 131 to 1015 of the family's 1533-position model. The record is from RNAcentral.
UCUAGGUCGGGGACAACAGUUAGAAAUGACUGCUAAUACCGGAUGUGCCGGAAGUGAAAGAUUUAUUGCCUGGAGAUGAGCUCGCGUCUGAUUAGCUAGUUGGUGGGGUAAGGGCCUACCAAGGCGACGAUCAGUAGCUGGUCUGAGAGGACGAUCAGCCACACUGGGACUGAGACACGGCCCAGACUCCUACGGGAGGCAGCAGUGGGGAAUUUUCCGCAAUGGGCGAAAGUGACGGAGCAAUACCGCGUGAGGGAGGAAGGCUCUUGGGUUGUAAACCUCUUUUCUCAAGGAAGAACACAAUGACGGUACUUGAGGAAUAAGCAUCGGCUAACUCCGUGCCAGCAGCCGCGGUAAUACGGAGGAUGCAAGCGUUAUCCGGAAUGAUUGGGCGUAAAGCGUCCGCAGUGGUCUUGUAAGUCUGCUGUUAAAGCGUGAGGCUCAACCUCAUAUGGGCGGUGGAAACUACAAAACUAGAGUACGUUCGGGGCAGAGGGAAUUCCUGGUGUAGCGGUGAAAUGCGUAGAUAUCAGGAAGAACACCGGUGGCGAAAGGCUCUGCUAGGCCGUAACUGACACUGAGGGACGAAAGCUAGGGGAGCGAAUGGGAUUAGAUACCCCAGUAGUCCUAGCCGUAAACGAUGGAUACUAGGCGUUGCUUGUAUCGACCCGAGCAGUGCCGUAGCUAACGCGUUAAGUAUCCCGCCUGGGGAGUACGCACGCAAGUGUGAAACUCAAAGGAAUUGACGGGGGCCCGCACAAGCGUGGAGUAUGUGGUUUAAUUCGAUGCAACGCGAAGAACCUUACCAGGGUUUGACAUGUCGCGAAUCUUUUGGAAACAGAAGAGU